CUUUAAUGUCUUCAAAAGUUCAGAAGUUGUUGCAGGCUGGAAACACACCGGAAACGGGCCACCUGAAGAUGCCAACACGACAGAAGCAACUUUGCAUAAGAACCGACACGCCACCACCGUGGCUUUCCGCGCCAUAGAUCUACUUACGGGUCAGAUUCUGAAGGGAAAACGGCCGCGUGAAGACGUCACGAUGAUAUCAUCACGGGACUUUCAGGUUGUGAUCAACAGGACCGACUGCCUCAAGUGGCUCAAUGAUGUAAACUACACCGUGCAUUUCACCAGUUUUGAAGAGGGGACCUGGUUUCGACUGCCUCCAUUGCCAGUAUUUCUGAAGGCAUACGCACGUUCAGUUUUGAACUUCAACGGUAAUAUUAGUAAGGAUCAGCUCAUGACAAGUAGGAGACACUUCUGUGAGUUAGGCAGUUUUGGAACACAGGUAAGACCAACAUUGGUACCAGUAUAUGUAUGUAAUCCUUAUGUUAUAUUCAUUCGGAGUCUGCCUUCAUGUAUAUACCUUUGAACUUAGUUUGAUUUCA
This is a long non-coding RNA of Branchiostoma floridae (Florida lancelet), 536 nucleotides long. RefSeq lists it as uncharacterized. The transcript has 4 exons. The record is from RefSeq and is a predicted model, not a curated record. Lineage: Eukaryota; Metazoa; Chordata; Leptocardii; Amphioxiformes; Branchiostomatidae.